This 1421-nucleotide long non-coding RNA is filed under the name Daucus carota (carrot). RNAcentral's name for it is "long non-coding RNA (DCAR_LNC002208)". The record is from RNAcentral. Lineage: Eukaryota; Viridiplantae; Streptophyta; Magnoliopsida; Apiales; Apiaceae.
UUUAUUAACUUUAAUUUUCACUAAAAUUAUCCAGACACUAAUCUAUGUUAUAUAUUUAUCAUGUAUUUAUUAUAUUAUUAUAACUUACACAAGUGUUUUAUCCGAAUUACGUAUCGAGUAGUUAUUUUUUUGUAUAAAAUAAUUUUAUUAAUAUAAAAUUGCAAAUAUGAAUUAGGGCUUUUUUUUGGUACAUAACCAAGUUUUAAAGAAUUUUUGCGAAAAUACUAUCACCUUCUAAAACAAAUUGUAAAAAUACAAUUUUUCUGAAAAUAUUUUCAAAAAUACGGUGGUUGCAUAUGUGAUCAUAUCCGUAACUGCUAGCAACCAUAUGCAACUUUGAGAAAAAGGUUAAAAAUUAUAUUUGUUUGUAUAAUCAGUUGCAACCGGUUGCAAAGAUUGAAUAAUAAAUACCCCUACGGGGCCAUACUAAUAUUACAAAAAUAACCACAAAAUAAAAAUGAACAAGUAUUGCAAUCAAAAAAUCAACUAAAAAUCAACACAAAAAGCAACCAACUUAAAAGAGAUAAGUGGGAUGGUGUAUAGUGGGCGGCUGUUGAUGCCUGAAUCGCCGACCUCAGGUGCAGCAUAAAGAAGGUGAAGCUCGGUAGAAUCAGGAGAAAGUUAGAUUGGUGUUUUGUUUUAAAAGGAUGCGAUUGAACGGCGAUUGCAAAGCCGUGUCUGGCUGAUUAGAGAUGGUAAAGACGGGAGUUGUUGAGCGACGGCAUAACCGCGUUAUUGAUCGUCGAUGGCCGAUAUCAUGACUAAAACAACGGAGUGGCAAGUUAAAAGAGAGAAAGGGAUGCAACAUAUUGUUGUAAAAGAAUAGUUAAUAUAUCAUAUAUUUAAUAUUUGUAAAUUAUUUGAGCAUACCGUAUUUUCGUAAAUAAUUUCCAAAAUUAUGUAUUUGAGAGAAAUUCUUAAUAAAUUAUUUGGAUAUCAAUUAUAAAAUUUUAUUCAUGAAUACACACACUCAUAUAUAUACUACACACACUAUUUAAAAUAUCAUAUACUAUAAGACUAUAAAUGUAUCACAAUUUUCAUACUUGUUAAUUGUCGUUGGGCAUUUUUACAAAAAAUACUCAAGUUGUAAAUUUUUCAAAACCACACCGUAUAUUUAUGUAACAUCAUUUGAAAUCCUUUGUUGUGAAAAUUAACCACUUUCAGCUAAGUUGGAAUCUCAUGUAGGACAACGUUUUUGGAAUUAUAUAAAGUUGAAAAUAGGAGUAUAUUUACAAAAAAAUUUAAAUCAUAUCCUUCUUUUCAAUCACAUAUUAUAUAUAAGAGCUUGUUUUUUUUAAUUUUUUUCAAAAUAAUAUAUUUAGAUAAUUGAACAAUUUUGAAUUGAAAUUUAGAUAAUUGAAAUUCAAUAUUUUAAUAAUAUUAUGAUAAAUAUAUUCAGAAAUUAUUAUGAUGAGUAAAUA